Long non-coding RNA from Tympanuchus pallidicinctus (lesser prairie-chicken), 1730 nucleotides. RefSeq lists it as uncharacterized. The record is from RefSeq and is a predicted model, not a curated record. The transcript has 5 exons. Lineage: Eukaryota; Metazoa; Chordata; Aves; Galliformes; Phasianidae.
CUUCAUGAAUAACCUAAGGCUUACAUGUUUCUUUACUUGAGACAGACUUGUGUAGGAAGUUGAAGCACUGAGCUCAUGGAUGUGUUCUUCUCCACGCUCUUAAAGGUGGGUGCAGCUCUCCAGCCCGAGUAGGGAUGGAUCUCAUCCAGAGAAGCAUCCUUCCCUGCUGUCCCAAACCCUCCUGGAAGGGUGCCUUGGUGCACAGUGUCUGACCAUGGAGAAGCCGUGCAGGGGGCAUGGAGUGUCUGAGUGCAGAGGGUUUGUGAUGCUCAGCACUGAUCCUGCAGCCUGAACUGCCAUGUCUCUGGGCAGUGGCCUGCCUUGGCAACAGGCUUCAACAACAGGGAGCUCUGCUGCAUCUGGAGAGAGCAGGAUAACUUGGACUGGAAGAAACACUGUGGACUGAGUACAGGAAAGAAAGCUGUGUAGCAAUGGAAGACCACUCUUAGAAGGAACAUCCUCUGGUGCCAAGGGACACCACUUCAGCAAUUUUGGAUUUGGAUUGCCAGGACCGGCAGAUUGCACCUCAACCAUCCUGCCUGAGAACUGUUUACAAAAUAGUCCACAGAUCUCCUGGCAGACUCCAAAGCAAAACACAGCUCCCAGCCAAAGUCUGUGUUUUGGAAACUGUUUCUUUGAGCGUGCUGAAAAUAUGCAGUCAAUCUGUGCAUGGCUUGGUAUGAAUUGAAUUCAUUUGGCAACGCUACUUAGGCAUGGAUGGCUGAUGGACCAUUUCAAGUCAUUGAUUACAGAGGAGGUUGAUCAGAGAAAUGUUCUCAUUGACCUGAAUCUGAUUCUCCUCUUCAUUACUAAAAGCUAAAUCAUUUUCACUAUGAAGGUAAGGAAUGAGUUACCUUAUUAUCAUAUUUAUAUAUUUAAUGUGUAUGUUUGUAGUUUCUAUGAGAGCUAUAUAAAAUAAAGAAUAUAUUGUGCAAAAACAUUUCAUAUAGCCCUGGGAACAAAAAACACACUACAUACAUAGAAACUUGCUUGUUUCCAGUGCGUAAAUGCACGAGAACAACUCUCAGAAGUUUCUUUUGAUAGUUGGUGACGUUGAUGGCUCUUCUUUUCUACAGUUUUUCUGUUCUCUGCGUUCUUGUGUGGGUUUUCUUUUUUCAUUUUUAUUUUUUCUUAAUUUAGUAUCCUGUCCAUUUAAUAAUUCAAUAUUUUAUGUUGAUAAUUCAUUUUUAUUUAACUGAUUCCUUGCUUAAAAUACCUGAUUUUCCAUUCCCUUCGGUAGAGAUCUUCAUAUUAUUUUGUCUACUCAGUUUUCCACAAAACCUCAGUAGACUCAUGAAUGGUACACUAUUACUGCUUAACAACAUAUUUACAUUUUUUAAAUGUAAAUGAUCUUCUCACUGUGAGCUUUAUUUCUCAGACUAUCAGGUAAAAACCUACUUAUUUAUUUAUUUUGGUAAACACAUAAUGCCAAUAUUUCAUGGUACUAUGUAGAUAGCAGAUCAACUUGUUUCUUGAGUCAUUCAAAAAUGACAGUUAUUCACCUAUUUUUUCAACUAUUCAUGAAAAUGGACUUCACGCAUGCCUCCAUUUAUGUGUGUGGGAGCAAUCAAGUCUAAAGGAGCCCACGGUGUCCUUUAUUUGCAGCCACUGGACUUUCCUGCUGUAGAGAGAGCUGAAAGCAGUACUAAGAAUUUAUCUGGAGAAACCAAGAGCACCACCCAGUUACAGGCAGUUGGCCACGUGGAGGCCUAGAUUAAAAUUACCUUGGC